CCUACGGGUGGCAGCAGUGAGGAAUAUUGGUCAAUGGACGCAAGUCUGAACCAGCCAUGCCGCGUGCGGGAAGACGGCUCUAUGAGUUGUAAACUGCUUUUGUACGGGGGUAAACUCAAAUACGCGUAUCUGUCUGAAAAUAUCGUACGAAUAAUGAUCGGCUAACUCCGUGCCAGCAGCCGCGGUAAUACGGAGGAUUCAAGCGUUAUCCGGAUUUAUUGGGUUUAAAGGGUGCGUAGGCGGUCUGAUAAGUUAGAGGUGAAAGCCCGAGGCUCAACUUCGGAAUUGCCUAUGAUACUGUGCGGCUAGAGAAUAGUUGCGGUAGGCGGAAUGUACGGUGUAGCAGUGAAAUGCUUAGAGAUCAUACAGAACACCGAUGGCGAAGGCAGCUUACCAAGCUACUUCUGACGUUGAGGCACGAAAGCGUGGGGAGCAAACAGGAUUAGAUACCCUUGUAGUC
This 460-nucleotide ribosomal RNA is filed under the name uncultured bacterium. Its description in RNAcentral is "partial 16S ribosomal RNA". It matches the Rfam family "Bacterial small subunit ribosomal RNA", at positions 338 to 795 of the family's 1533-position model. The record is from RNAcentral.